This 523-nucleotide ribosomal RNA is filed under the name uncultured bacterium. RNAcentral describes it as "partial 16S ribosomal RNA". It matches the Rfam family "Bacterial small subunit ribosomal RNA", at positions 29 to 523 of the family's 1533-position model. The record is from RNAcentral.
AAUGAACGCUGGCGGCGUGCCUAACACAUGCAAGUCGGACGAGAACGGAGGGCUUCGGCUCUCUUAGUAAAGUGGCGCACGGGUGAGUAACGCGUGGGUAACCUACCCUGACGUUCGGAAUAACGUUGCGAAAGCAGCGCUAAUACCGGAUAAGACCACGAAGCCUUCGGGCUUAGGGGUAAAAGGUGGCGAUUCUUCGGAAGCUACCGCAUCUGGAUGGGCCCGCGUGACAUUAGCUAGUUGGUGGGGUAAUGGCCUACCAAGGCUGCGAUGUCUAGCUGGUCUGAGAGGAUGAUCAGCCACACUGGGACUGGGACACGGCCCAGACUCCUACGGGAGGCAGCAGUGAGGAAUUUUGCGCAAUGGGGGAAACCCUGACGCAGCAACGCCGCGUGAGUGAAGAAGGCCUUUUGGUUGUAAAGCUCUGUCGAUCGGAAAGAAGUCACAGAUGGCUAAUAUCUAUUUGUGUUGACGGUACCGAUAAAGGAAGCCCCGGCUAACUCCGUGCCAGCAGCCGCGGUAA